CCCAGAAGUUCGAAAAACUGCAAUACAUCGAAAAUCCGCUAGGGACUGGUCCCAAAAGCGAGCAAAUGUCCAUAGACUCCCAUGUUAAAAUGUCCGUUUUCACAGCGUAAAUACAUGUUUUUAAAGCCUGGUCCCAUGGACUUUUAUUGUACUUUUCGGUAGUUUCCCAGUGCCUGACAACUGUGAGGGGGGUGAAUUUUUUCUAACUCAUUAGUUUAGAUCACAUUUAGAUAUAAAAUAUAUGAAUAAUUAAGGGCGUGGUCGGCUUGAUUGACGGCUGACGUCGAGGCAUACAGCAGCAGACGUUGCCAGCUGAGUGGAAACCCUGAAACUUUGACGUCUCAGCCAUGAUUAUACACAAAGUUACCACAUCCUUUCUGAACAUCUUUAUUCAAAAAGCUGACAUAAAAUGGUUUGCUAAGCUAUUUAUUGAAGCCUACUAACCGACACUUUCAGAAGACUUCGUUCCAGUUUUUUCAGUUUCCCUGUAGGUAAUCCAGACAGGCUGGGUGCUGGAGAGGGCUCUGGACUCCUAACUUCAAUUCUCGUCUGUGCAGUCGACACUCGGAAGCAUCACUUCAGCACUGAUUCCAUGAUCUGGAACAUUUUGAAAUCCUACCAGAUGGGGCAGAAGUCAUUGAGCAGUGGCAGCUUCUGAUUUCAAGGACUUGACACCUUUAUUUACAACAUUUGCAUCUGUGUCUUUAAAGUGAUCUAAUAUGUAUUGACUAUGUACUAGCUUAGUACAUAUUAGUUUUUGUUAUUUUAGUUUCACAAAUUCAGUGGUUACCUGUAAUGCUCAAGAUAUACAAGUAAAAAAAUCACCUUUACUUCUGCAUCUGGGUCUUCAAUUCAACCUACUGACUGAAGCUGACGGAUUUGUA
Alosa sapidissima (American shad) is the source of this 884-nucleotide long non-coding RNA. RefSeq lists it as uncharacterized. The record is from RefSeq and is a predicted model, not a curated record. Lineage: Eukaryota; Metazoa; Chordata; Actinopteri; Clupeiformes; Clupeidae. The transcript is spliced from 3 exons.